GAGUUUGAUCCUGGCUCAGAGCGAACGCUGGCGGCAGGCCUAAUACAUGCAAGUCGAGCGGCCCUUCGGGGCAGCGGCGGACGGGUGAGUAACGCGUGGGAAUGUGCCCUUUGGUACGGAACAACACAGGGAAACUUGUGCUAAUACCGUAUGUGCCCUUCGGGGGAAAGAUUUAUCGCCAUUGGAGCAGCCCGCGUUGGAUUAGGUAGUUGGUGGGGUAAAGGCCCACCAAGCCGACGAUCCAUAGCUGGUCUGAGAGGAUGAUCAGCCACACUGGGACUGAGACACGGCCCAGACUCCUACGGGAGGCAGCAGUAGGGAAUCUUGCGCAAUGGGCGAAAGCCUGACGCAGCCAUGCCGCGUGAAUGAUGAAGGUCUUAGGAUU
This 385-nucleotide ribosomal RNA is filed under the name uncultured Alphaproteobacteria bacterium. RNAcentral's name for it is "bacterial SSU rRNA". It matches the Rfam family "Bacterial small subunit ribosomal RNA", at positions 9 to 424 of the family's 1533-position model. Lineage: Bacteria; Pseudomonadati; Pseudomonadota; Alphaproteobacteria. The record is from RNAcentral.